CCUUCUCAUUUCUCAGCCACAGAAGGUUCAUAUCCUCUCUUUCAUUCUGGAUCUGCAGCUCUGAAGAACCUUAGUUAUCUUUGGAAAAUCACAACUCAAGUCUCACGAUUUAAUUCCAAUCAACUCUCACGAUUUGUUUCUCUAUCAGAUUUAAUUGUUUUUUCUCUCUCCAGAUUUAAUUGAUGUGUGUUUUUUUUUACAAACCCCAACAACAUCUUUUUUGCUGCUUCUCUGUCUGGACAUGAGUUUCAAUUCCAGUUUGAAGUUGGGUUCCACUUCGUUGUCUUUCUGUCGAUUCCAAAUCGGAAGAUUUGAGUUUUAAUUGAGUGAUUCAUAGAAGUCCCGCAGCUUGAUUAAUCGAGGUGGGAGGUGACGGUGUUGCUAUUGAUUGAGUUAUAGGAGAAAAAAGAAAUUAGGGUUUUUGUCUUGGGAGGAAAAAAUCAAGAGUAGAUGUAGAAUCAGUUGAGAACCCUGGUGAUUUAUGUUGGUGGUUCUAAAUCUAGUGUCGAUUCAAACUCAGGAGGUUGAAGAAAACGUAAAUUAGGGGUUUCUGUUUGAUGAUUAAUUCAUGUAAAUUUCAAUUGAUAAGCUGAAUUUUAGUGAUGGUUUUUAUUUAAGCAUGAGGAAGGAUAUUUGCAUGUAAUUUGAUUUUUAUUUUACAGAAAUUAGGGUUCUUGGUAGUAUUUGAAUUGGGUGCAGAAAUCGGAGAUGAGUAUUGAGUUAAUUAGACGAAUUAGGUUGAGAUUAUAGGUGACAUAAAGUCUCAGGUGGUGAAUUGUUAUCUUAGUUAUAUUUGAUUUACUCUUGAAAAUUUCUGAACGAUACAGAGGCAGGGGAGAUGAAUCUGAUUCUUGGAUUGAUAGUAAUUGAUAUGGACUGAAUUGGAGAGUGUAUUUCAAGUAGGCAUGGGUACUGUGAGAUGUUGAGGUUGCUAUGACUGUAUUGUGAUGAUUAUUGCUUUAUGUAUGUUAUUUAUUGUGAUGAACCGUCUUUAUUGAUGUAACCGAGCAGGUAGGAAAAGAAUAGCUGCUGCGGAUAGAGUUUGCAGAGGAGGGAAGAAAGCUUCCUCCUAAAGGAAGUUCACAAGUCUGUGAUUUAAAUGUUAUCACCCCUGGAACUGAAUUUAUGCAUGUUUUGUCAGUUACACUGCAGUACCACAUUCAUCUCAGACUAAAAAAUGAUCCCGGGUGGAGAUCAGUUAAGGUUAUCCUUUCUGAUGCUAAUGUUCCCGGUGAAGGGGAACACAAAAUUAUGUCUUAUGUUCGUCUGCAAAGAAACCAUCCUGGUUUGGACCCAAAUACCCGUCACUGCCUCUAUGGUUUAGAUGUUAGAUGAAAAGCAGGUACACUUCUGUAACAGCGAAGAAGCCAUACCAGUUCGUAAACAUCUGGACACUUCAAGAGUACUUGGAUUACGAGAUGAAAAUUCCUAAUCUACCAUUUGAGAUUGACCUUGAACGUCUUGUGGACAACUUCAUUUUUAUAUGUUUCUUUGUUGGAAAUGAUCUUCUGCCUCAUAUGCCCACGCUGGAAAUUCGAGAGGGUGCCAUCAACUUUCUGAUUGCUGUCUAUAAGAAAGAGUUUUGGGAAAUGAAGGGGUAUAUAACCAACUCUAGCAAGCUUGAUUUGAGAAAGGUUGAACACUUCAUUCAGGCAGUGGGGUCUUUUGAGGAUGUAUUUUCACCAAAAGAGCUAGACUUCAUCAGUUUUUUACUUUUUUCUGAACUCUUGAGAUUAUUCGAAUGCUGGUCUCUGAAAUUCAGGCAUUGGCAUUUUGAUGUGCCAGAUAGAAAAUAACUUAGGUUCAACUUGUAAUUAAUAAACUGAAGAACAACCUACACCUUAAUUUUCAGUAUAUGCUUAUCAUAUUGAGUUCAAAUGGAUAUUAAUCUUCAGUAUAUAAUCUCUUUUGAGGUAAUAUGAUGUUCGUGAUGUUGUUAUGGGAUUAUGAUGUUGCUGGCCUUUCUCUGUUUCAGUACGUCUAUUAACAACAAAAGAUGACGAUAGAUUCAGAUACACUCACAACAGCAGUAGUUUCUGAAUGUUCAUGAUCAACAACUACUCUGAAACGAAGGUAUUUUGGUUCAAGUCAAAAAGCAGUACUCUGAUGAUAUUUUAGCAGCAGCUGAAUCUAUGUAUAAUUUGCUGAGGAAAUUGGUUAAGCAAGCCGAGUCUUGUGAUACUUCUGGUGGUAUUUUAGUCUUUCUUUCCCUAUUUUUCAAUGCCUCUGUCAGUUGACACAAACUAGGUUACUCAUCCGUUUAUGAACAUCUACAUAGGUCGGAUAUUGUAUGUCAGUCACAAAAUUUUAGGUUUAAUAAGUUUAGGCCUAUUUUGCGUUUCCUCCCUUGCCAAGAUUCCUAAUUAGCGUUUCCUCCCCAAAAAGAUUGAAAAUAGUGUUGCCUCCCCUCGUUAGCUUUUCCAUCCACUGCUCGGUUAGCUGAGUCAGCACAUGUUCACGAGUGGCAAAAACUGUACGUGUGUCCCAUGUGUUACCAAAAAUACCUCCUCCUUUUUCAAGUGAUUAAACCCAAAUCUUUUUCUGAAACUAGUACUGUGAAAUUUGACAGAUGCCAUCGGCAACAAACGCAAUCCCAGUUCAUCGGCUUUUCACCUCACUAGCGCCUUUCUGCCAUUCUCAGUAUCAUAUUCUAUCAUUCUCCAUCUCAGAAACACCAUCAGUUUCUUGUCUCUGAAUCCAUCUAAAACCCCAUCUCAGUUACCAAUCUCAAAUUAUUAUCAAACCCUAACUUUUCUGCUACCCAUCACUGAUAACCAUUCAAUUACGAUAACCCAUUCAUCCUUGGACCAUGAAUCUUCAAUCGAGGCACAGUAAAACCUAGAUCUAACAGUCAACAUCCGGUGAAUUAUAGAUUAGCCCGUUCUUCCAUCUUCUCGAGCUCCUUAUUUCCUCUGAAUUUAAUGGAUUUCACUUCUCCAUCUUCUGUAUUCUUCACUCGAGCAUCAGCAGAAGCAAUUUAAGCGAUACAAACCCUUAAUUCUCUACGCAACCAUCUCCCUCUGCGUCUCUGUGUUAUUUCAGGUGCAAUUUUAGCAACAAACCAAUCUCGACAUCAUCUCAAUCUCGGAGAACCAAAUUUGAACUGAAACAUCUCAAUCUCGGUUGCAUCUCAAUCUUGGCAGCAUUUCAAUAUCAACACCUGAUUUUAGUUGAACUGAAACAUCACAAUUUCUUACUACUUCCCUCAAUCGAAAUUCAAUUUCAUUAAUUAGUAAAAAUAAAAAACCCAAAUUUUUAAGGUUUCUCGGAAAUUUAAUUUCAAAGACAUAUUCUUCUGAAAUUUCAAUGUGUUUGUUUCUUGGAAAUAAUAUGUACUGAAUCAUUGAAUUGGUUGUAAGAAAUUGAUUAUAGAAAGAGGGGAUCUCAUCUGUUCAAUUGGAAGAAACUGGAAUGAUGAUUCCAUGACAUCGAUGGGGGUUUAUUUGGUGUUACACGAUAGAUGAAGAAGAUGAUUGAAUGAAUUAGAAGAUGGGUAUGUUGGGGUUAUCUCAAUGGGUUUGCGGAUGGAGAAACGACUUUGAGAUCAUGAAGGUUCUUGUGUUUACCACAGAUGGUUGGGUUUGAAGUGAGUAAUGGGGUUUAUGACUGAAACUGGUAGCAAAUUGGUUUUGUGUGGAUACUAUACAAUGAUGUGUAUGCUCGAAAAAGGGAGUUGUGGUUUUGAUUGUUUCUCAUAUUGAAAAUUGAGAUGCUGCCGAGUGAAACUGAUGAUGAAUUAUGAAAAUCAGGAAAAGAAAACAGUGAGGAUGUUGUUGCUGUGAUACGAUCUAGUCUAGGGUUUUUUGGGAAGGACGGAAAACGUGUGUACAUUUUUUUGAUAUGUGUGCACAUGUGUUGACUCAGCUAACCGAACAGUGGAUGGAAAAGCUAACGAGGGGAGGAAACACUAAUUUCAAUCUUUUUGGGGAGAAACGCUAAUUAGCUAUCUUGGCAGGGAAGGAAACACAAAAUAGCCCAUAAGUUUACUUGUAUACAUUUAUAUCAAUUUAAAAAUCCUUUCUUUUAUAA
Molecule: long non-coding RNA, 4029 nt
Organism: Papaver somniferum (opium poppy)
Lineage: Eukaryota; Viridiplantae; Streptophyta; Magnoliopsida; Ranunculales; Papaveraceae
Exons: 9
Source: RefSeq, a predicted model, not a curated record